RNAcentral lists this ribosomal RNA (1343 nucleotides) under uncultured bacterium. Its description in RNAcentral is "16S ribosomal RNA". It matches the Rfam family "Bacterial small subunit ribosomal RNA", at positions 28 to 1378 of the family's 1533-position model. The record is from RNAcentral.
GACGAACGCUGGCGGCGUGCUUAACACAUGCAAGUCGAACGGAAAGGCCCUGCUUUUGUGGGGUGCUCGAGUGGCGAACGGGUGAGUAACACGUGAGUAACCUGCCCUUGACUUUGGGAUAACUUCAGGAAACUGGGGCUAAUACCGGAUAGGAGCUCCUGCUGCAUGGUGGGGGUUGGAAAGUUUCGGCGGUUGGGGAUGGACUCGCGGCUUAUCAGCUUGUUGGUGGGGUAGUGGCUUACCAAGGCUUUGACGGGUAGCCGGCCUGAGAGGGUGACCGGCCACAUUGGGACUGAGAUACGGCCCAGACUCCUACGGGAGGCAGCAGUGGGGAAUAUUGCACAAUGGGCGGAAGCCUGAUGCAGCAACGCCGCAUGCGGGAUGACGGCCUUCGGGUUGUAAACCGCUUUCGCCUGUGACGAAGCGUGAGUGACGGUAAUGGGUAAAGAAGCACCGGCUAACUACGUGCCAGCAGCCGCGGUGAUACGUAGGGUGCGAGCGUUGUCCGGAUUUAUUGGGCGUAAAGGGCUCGUAGGUGGUUGAUCGCGUCGGAAGUGUAAUCUUGGGGCUUAACCCUGAGCGUGCUUUCGAUACGGGUUGACUUGAGGAAGGUAGGGGAGAAUGGAAUUCCUGGUGGAGCGGUGGAAUGCGCAGAUAUCAGGAGGAACACCAGUGGCGAAGGCGGUUCUCUGGGCCUUUCCUGACGCUGAGGAGCGAAAGCGUGGGGAGCGAACAGGCUUAGAUACCCUGGUAGUCCACGCUGUAAACGGUGGGUACUAGGUGUGGGGUCCAUUCCACGGGUUCCGUGCCGUAGCUAACGCUUUAAGUACCCCGCCUGGGGAGUACGGCCGCAAGGCUAAAACUCAAAGGAAUUGACGGGGCCCCGCACAAGCGGCGGAGCAUGCGGAUUAAUUCGAUGCAACGCGUAGAACCUUACCUGGGUUUGACAUGGAUCGGGAGCGCUCAGAGAUGGGUGUGCCUCUUUUGGGGUCGGUUCACAGGUGGUGCAUGGCUGUCGUCAGCUCGUGUCGUGAGAUGUUGGGUUAAGUCCCGCAACGAGCGCAACCCUUGUUCACUGUUGCCAGCACGUUAUGGUGGGGACUCAGUGGAGACCGCCGGGGUCAGCUCGGAGGAAGGUGGGGAUGACGUCAAGUCAUCAUGCCCCUUAUGUCCAGGGCUUCACGCAUGCUACAAUGGCUGGUACAGAGAGUGGCGAGCCUGUGAGGGUGAGCGAAUCUCGGAAAGCCGGUCUCAGUUCGGAUUGGGGUCUGCAACUCGACCUCAUGAAGUCGGAGUCGCUAGUAAUCGCAGAUCAGCAACGCUGCGGUGAAUACGUUCCCGGG